RNAcentral lists this long non-coding RNA (775 nucleotides) under Capsicum annuum. RNAcentral's name for it is "long non-coding RNA (CANN_LNC002748)". The record is from RNAcentral. Lineage: Eukaryota; Viridiplantae; Streptophyta; Magnoliopsida; Solanales; Solanaceae.
UUGAAGAUGGCUGAUAUUUUGAAAAAAAAAACAGUUGAAAAAAUUUCUUCUCCAAAAGACAAAAAAAUAAAAAAAAUGUGAGAAGAAAAGAAAAGCAAAAGAAAUUGCAGAGUCAAGCAAUGUUCAUGACGAUGUUGUGAAUUCUUGUGCUAAUGAAUCUGAAGAAGACAUUGAGGAAGAGGUAUUUGUCGUUGUAUAUGUAUUUUUAUUUACUAUUAUAUAUUUAGGGAUUUUUGUAAAGCUUUAUCAAUUGGGGUAAUAUGUAUUUUUUUGUGAAGCUAACAUGUAUUUACUGAUCAGCUAAUAUGUAUUUAGGAAUUUCAGUAAAUCUGAUUUGUGAAGAUGAUAGGUUAAAUAUACAUUUUGGGUUAACAUGUAUUUAUUUGUAUUUUUUUGUAAAGCUACUAUAUUUAGUUGUAUUUGUAUGUUAAAUGAAUUUGCUAUCUAAUUGCAUGUAUGAAAAAAUAUAUUUAUAUAUGAACUACUCAUGAAGAGGUAUUUGGUUAUAUGUAUUUUUAUUAUAAUUGAUAUGUAUUUUUCAGUAUAUUGGAAUGUUGAAAUAUACAAAUACAUUUGUGGUUAUGGACGUAUUUGUAUUUGUGUCGGUAAUAGAUAUGACUUCAUUUUUGACUAAAUAUAUAUUUUAUAGUCUACAUAUAUACAUUUGCAUUACAAUUGUUUAACAGAUAUUUAAACACAUUUUUUCUAUAUUCCUAGGUUGUAUUUAAGAACAUUGAGCCAACUCAAAGAAAAAUGUCAAAGUUUGAAAUACUAG